RNAcentral lists this ribosomal RNA (484 nucleotides) under uncultured bacterium. Its description in RNAcentral is "partial 16S ribosomal RNA". It matches the Rfam family "Bacterial small subunit ribosomal RNA", at positions 30 to 507 of the family's 1533-position model. The record is from RNAcentral.
AUUGAACGCUGGCGGCAGGCCUAACACAUGCAAGUCGAGCGGAUGAAGGGAGCUUGCUCCUGGAUUCAGCGGCGGACGGGUGAGUAAUGCCUAGGAAUCUGCCUGGUAGUGGGGGAUAACGUCCGGAAACGGGCGCUAAUACCGCAUACGUCCUGAGGGAGAAAGUGGGGGAUCUUCGGACCUCACGCUAUCAGAUGAGCCUAGGUCGGAUUAGCUAGUUGGUGGGGUAAAGGCCUACCAAGGCGACGAUCCGUAACUGGUCUGAGAGGAUGAUCAGUCACACUGGAACUGAGACACGGUCCAGACUCCUACGGGAGGCAGCAGUGGGGAAUAUUGGACAAUGGGCGAAAGCCUGAUCCAGCCAUGCCGCGUGUGUGAAGAAGGUCUUCGGAUUGUAAAGCACCUUAAGUUGGGGGGAAGGGCAGUAAGUUAAUACCUUGCUGUUUUGACGUUACCAACAGAAUAAGCACCGGCUAACUUCGUG